GCUCUGUAAACAACUGUUGUUUAGGCAGCGA
Molecule: non-coding RNA, 31 nt
Filed under: Mus musculus (house mouse)
Lineage: Eukaryota; Metazoa; Chordata; Mammalia; Rodentia; Muridae
Source: RNAcentral